Molecule: transfer RNA, 75 nt
Filed under: Armatimonadota bacterium
Lineage: Bacteria; Bacillati; Armatimonadota
Description: Armatimonadetes bacterium (hot springs metagenome) tRNA-Val
Rfam family: tRNA
About the family: Transfer RNA (tRNA) molecules are approximately 80 nucleotides in length. Their secondary structure includes four short double-helical elements and three loops (D, anti-codon, and T loops).
Source: RNAcentral
GGGCGGUUAGUUCAGAGGGAGAACGCCGUCUUGACAGGACGGAGGUCGCAGGUUCGAUUCCUGCACCGCCCACUA